Molecule: ribosomal RNA, 406 nt
Filed under: uncultured bacterium
Lineage: Bacteria
Description: partial 16S ribosomal RNA
Rfam family: Bacterial small subunit ribosomal RNA
Source: RNAcentral
AUUGAACGCUGGCGGCAGGCCUAACACAUGCAAGUCGAGCGAGUGGCGGACGGGUGAAUAAUGUCUGGGAAACUGCCUGAUGGAGGGGGAUCACUACUGGAAACGGUAGCUAAUACCGCAUACCAUGAGGUGUGCCCAUAUGGGAUUAGCUUGUGGGUGGGGGAACGGCUCUCCGAGGCGACGAUCCCUAUCUGGUCUGAGAGGAUGACCAGCCACACUGGAACUGAGACACGGUCCAGACUCCUACGGGAGGCAGCAGUGGGGAAUAUUGCACAAUGGGCGCAAGCCUGAUGCAGCCAUGCCGCGUGUAUGAAGAAGGCCUUCGGGUUGUAAAGUACUUUCAGCGGGGAGGCGUUACCCGCAGAAGAAGCACCGGCUAACUCCGUGCCAGCCGCCGCGGUAAUAC